Molecule: non-coding RNA, 29 nt
Filed under: Rattus norvegicus (Norway rat)
Lineage: Eukaryota; Metazoa; Chordata; Mammalia; Rodentia; Muridae
Source: RNAcentral
UUCCCUAAGGAAUGUGUGGCAGCCGGAGA